This 253-nucleotide ribosomal RNA is filed under the name uncultured bacterium. Its description in RNAcentral is "partial 16S ribosomal RNA". It matches the Rfam family "Bacterial small subunit ribosomal RNA", at positions 524 to 776 of the family's 1533-position model. The record is from RNAcentral.
UACGAAGGGGGCUAGCGUUGCUCGGAAUCACUGGGCGUAAAGCGCACGUAGGCGGAUCUUUAAGUCAGGGGUGAAAUCCUGGAGCUCAACUCCAGAACUGCCUUUGAUACUGGGGAUCUCGAGUCCGGGAGAGGUGAGUGGAACUCCGAGUGUAGAGGUGAAAUUCGUAGAUAUUCGGAAGAACACCAGUGGCGAAGGCGACUCACUGGCCCGAUACUGACGCUGAGGCGCGAAAGCGUGGGGAGCAAACAGG